Non-coding RNA from Diceros bicornis minor, 258 nucleotides. Lineage: Eukaryota; Metazoa; Chordata; Mammalia; Perissodactyla; Rhinocerotidae. The record is from the annotation of a RefSeq genome assembly.
AUGAUGAAAUCCUCGAGAAUUUUGCUAGUGAUCCUGUGGCUUCAGUUAACCUGGAUGAGGAGCCAACAGAAGGGAGUGGAACAGAGUCCCGGAUCUCUGAGUGUUCCAGAGGGAGCCAUUGACUCUCUCGACUGCACUUAUAGUGACCGUUCUUCCCAGAACUUCAUGGGGUACAGACAGUAUUCCCGGAAAGGCCCUGAGUUGCUGAUGUACAUAUACUCCAGUGGUGACAAGGAUGAAGGGAGAUUUACAGCAUAG